CUAUAACUAGGCGACUCAGUUUUUGUGGUCAAUGACGUCAUUGUCACAAGCUGCCAUCCAGCAUCCAUCCAUCCAUCCAGCCAGCCGCGAUCUGCCUCGGCACAGGCCUCCAGAACGCGCAAAACAACAUGGCGGAUAAGUAUUUUUGCCCCUCUCAAAAACACACGAAAACUGACUGCAGAAAAGCCAAGAAUUGUCGAAAAAGAAGUGCUUGAAAUAAUCUUUCGUGGGAAUGCUAACCACGGAUAUGAACUUGUCUAAUUAUGUGCAAAAGACUGUGUAAAAACAUGGUUGAAAGUUUUGAAGAGUCAAGUCUUGUGCUCGAGUCAAGGUCAGUGAAAUGUCAAAGUAAGCCACAAGACGACGAAAGAAAAAACAAGCUAAUUUUAUGGACACCUUCUCCGACAAGUGCCCCUAUGUGUUUGUCUUUGCCCUGGCAGACGUAGGUUAAUCUCAGCCAGAGAUUCUGAAAUCAAGCUGAGACAAGCUGCUGGCUAAGAGGCAUGACCCAGGGCAGGAUGUAUAUAUAAGGCAUUGGUAUUUAAUGUAGGUCACCAAAAAUAAACACAUAUAAUGUAACAAAAAGUAAGAUACUAUUUUAAUGGAAAAACUGUUCUAAAAAAUGAACAAGAGUUAUAAAAGCAAAAAACCUAUUUUUUUUCCAAGUUAGCCUGACAGGUUCUUGUAUAAUGUGUGGUUAGUGACAUUUAGACUAUUAUAAAUAGUCUCUUGCUAUUACAAUGACUCAUGGUAAAGUAAUUGAGGUAGUAAGUAAUCAUACAAAAACAAAAACAGGUCUCCUAUAUGAUCAUAUUUAAAACUAUUUAGAAAUCAAUUUCCCUAUUUCAACCUAUUUCAAAUAAAGGCUAAAUAGAUGAUUUAUAAAAAGGAUUCUAAUUUGAUAAUUUUAGGUUAACAGGUUUAUUCUAGCUUCUUAUAUGUGGUUCUUAACUGUAUAAUAAUGUACUCAGAAGUUUUUUAAAGGAGUGCUUUUAAUCCACCCUUAGCAAAGUUACAUUCUAAAGCACAAUAGAGAAAGUUAAUAAAGAUUGUUUUUCCAAUAUUCGAAUUACUUACUGUAAAACUUACACAAGAAUAAGAAAAUGAUAAAGCCCUAUCUUUGCAAGUUAAGUAAAGUAAUUUAAAGAAGUAAAAGGAAUUGGGACAGUACAGGCAGGGAAUGAGUACUUUUACAUCAAAUCCACUAUGAUAGUGUGAUUUGCUGAUAUACUUGAUGUAUAGGAAUUUGAUAUGUAUUUGUUUAUUGUUUUUAAUUUUUAAGAGAAUAAAAUAGCACACAGUU
Long non-coding RNA from Nematostella vectensis (starlet sea anemone), 1303 nucleotides. RefSeq lists it as uncharacterized. The record is from RefSeq and is a predicted model, not a curated record. The transcript is spliced from 2 exons. Lineage: Eukaryota; Metazoa; Cnidaria; Anthozoa; Actiniaria; Edwardsiidae.